CCUACGGGGGGCUGCAGUGAGGAAUAUUGGUCAAUGGACGAGAGUCUGAACCAGCCAAGUAGCGUGAAGGAUGACUGCCCUAUGGGUUGUAAACUUCUUUUAUAUGGGAAUAAAAUGUUCCACGUGUGGGAUUUUGUAUGUACCAUAUGAAUAAGGAUCGGCUAACUCCGUGCCAGCAGCCGCGGUAAUACGGAGGAUCCGAGCGUUAUCCGGCUUUAUUGGGUUUAAAGGGAGCGUAGGUGGAUUGUUAAGUCAGUUGUGAAAGUUUGCGGCUCAACCGUAAAAUUGCAGUUGAAACUGGCAGUCUUGAGUACAGUAGAGGUGGGCGGAAUUCGUGGUGUAGCGGUGAAAUGCUUAGAUAUCACGAAGAACUCCGAGUGCGAAGGCAGUUCACUGGACUGCAACUGACACUGAGGCUCGAAAGUGUGGGUAUCAAACAGGAUUAGAUACCCGGGUAGUC
Molecule: ribosomal RNA, 460 nt
Filed under: uncultured bacterium
Lineage: Bacteria
Description: partial 16S ribosomal RNA
Rfam family: Bacterial small subunit ribosomal RNA
Source: RNAcentral